ACUUGUAACUUAUAUGCAUUUGAUUUGAAAUCAAAUUGAUUGUUUUUAUUAACAAUACAGGUU
Molecule: transfer RNA, 63 nt
Filed under: Drepanidotaenia lanceolata
Lineage: Eukaryota; Metazoa; Platyhelminthes; Cestoda; Cyclophyllidea; Hymenolepididae
Description: tRNA-Ser
Source: RNAcentral